UAAAAUUUUGUUGGUUCAUUGUUUUACUUUUAUGCCCUUGUAAUAAAUAUUCAACCAUUACUCUUAUUUUGAAGAAACAACAUUCAAUAUCAUUAUUUUUAUCACCACAUUUAAUGUUGUUGUAUUCUAUUUGGUUAAAGUUUAUGGAUUUUAAUGGUCAAUACACGUUAAUCAAUGAAGUUGAGAGUUCCAGUGUGAUAAGUAAGGAGUAAUUAACUUAUUCAUUAAUUCCAUAUUAAGGGGUAUAUGUGAAAAAUUUAUGUUAAAAAUUGUCACUUAACUAAUUUUCUUAAACUAUGUGCCAAAAGAAAUCAGCCUAUAACUAUGGGACGGAGGGAGUCAUGAUUUUUAAUUUUUAAAAGAAAAUAUUAUUUUUAAAAUAAUAAUAAUUUUAAAAAUUUUAGUUUUUCUUUAAAAAAAAUAAUUGGUGAAAUUGUGGUCGGGUCAAAAUGGAUCGGGUUGGGGUCAAAUAGGGUAAAAGGAAUAGAAUUGACAAAUAAAGUUACUUUAAGGACUUAAUUGACGAAAAAUAAACUUUAGGGAUGACUGUAAAAGUGGACGACAACUUUGAGGGUUAAAAGUGUCAUUCAACCUUUUUUGAGUUUCACCAAAAGGAGCAAAAAGUAAAAUAAUUUGCCAUCUAUCCCUAUGAAGAAUCCAUGUGACUACCAACAGGCACAAGUUUAAUGGAGUUUGUCAAUAUAUUUUCAGCGCUCAAACCCCACCAGCACUCAACAAAUAAUUUUCGGAUUUGUCACUUGCAGUUUGUCGAUAUAUUUUUCAAUGUUCUUUGCUGUACUACCCUUGGAUUUGAGUUACCAAGAAUAUAGAAAAAGUCUUUGUUUUUUUUUGCCCUUUACUUCAGUUUGAUCUCAGGUAGGGUUCAAAUACCAUGGUGUGAAGAAGCCUUGAUGUUUCUCAGGUAGGUAUAGAGAGAGAACUAUACAUAUAUAGCUCUCUCUCUCUCUAUAUAUAUAUCUAGGGUAAAACUGUUCUUGGAGUAAAACUGAGCAGAGAUCUACUUUCUAUUUGCCCCUAUUUGAGAUUAUUUUCUGAUCCAUUCAUAAGAAUGGGAUAAAGAUCUCUUAUGGAUUCACCCCCAAAUAAAUGUCUCUCUAGGAAGAAACUUUAAAGUUGGUAUUUUUUUUGGUGUGUGCGCGCGCAUCAAGUCAGAUAAGUAGUUUUUAUAUUAAAAUUUGAAGAAAUAAUAUAUUACCAUCUAGGUUUUAGUUAAUAUGUAGAUCUUAUGAAAUUUGUGCCUGUUACACACUUUUGCAUUUAUGUCUGGAUUAAACAUUAAUUCUUCCUUGUAGAAGGUGAAGAGUAGCCCAAAAAGUGUUCAAAUUAGAACAUAUGAAAGGGCAGAUUUUGUUGUGUGAGAAAGAGAGGAGCGAGAAAGUCCUAGAUGUCUAAACUCUAAAGUAAAAAACCCUAGCUAGGGCUAGGUAGAUCUCCACUCAUUGUAUAAUGUAACCCUAGCCAUCUUAAAUUGAGGGAUUGAUUAUUAUUGGUAUCUGAAUGACCACGCAGGUUAUCUAGCUACAGCACUAAAAUCCCAUUAGCUGCCCAUUUCUUUUUCAUUACAUAUAUAGAUCUGAUGGCAAGAUUGGUAUUUUCUACUUAUUUAAAUACAUACAUAUAUUCAUUACUAUUACUAUUACUGGUUGAACAUAUAUAUACAAAUUUGAGAUAGAAGUUGUUGGUAAAAAAAGGUAAGAAUUAGUUGUACCAUUUAUGUUCAUGAGGUUUGCUAAAAUUACUAUUUAUUGGUUGAACAUACAUACUAUAUUUAUGUAUGUAUCUGUGUGCGUGUGUGCACUACAAUAUAAAGUCCAUAUGAGACCUGUUGAAUGCACUGAUUUAGGGUAUCAAUGGAAACUUGGCUAAACUUGGUCUCUUCUAUAUCAAAUAUAUGCUUGUAAACUACACACAGGAACUGAUCAAAAUGUUGGGAUUUCACAUGAAUCCCACAUCGGUUAAAUUCAAGAGUGUAGAUGGCUUAAUAAGUAUGGUAGAACAUCAACCUAAUAGGUUAACUUUUUAGGUAAGGAGGUGGUCCAACAUACUUAUUGGGCUCGUCUACACAGGUGUGCGCUGCUAAGGUGAUGAAUAGAUGUGGGAUGGAUCGUUCAAUUCGCUACAAGUGGUAUCAGAGCCCAUGGUUCGGUGGGAGUCCAAGUAUCAACUUCAAGGUGCGAGGGGGUGCGCAAGAGGUACAAUUCGCAGGCCUCGUGGGUGGAGUAAAUAGAGUUGAAUCAGGUGGAGCACGGCCUCGUGUCAGGUGGAGCACGGGAGCCUCGUGUCAGGUGGAGCACGGGAUGAUUUGAGUCGGGUGGAGCGGGCUUAAGUAGGCUCUAGGGAAAUUGCUGAGACACCCAGGACGUGGUGGAGUAAUAUUAGAGUCAAGCAAGGCUCUUGAAGGACUCAAAAAGUAUUUGAAUCGGGUGGAGCAUGGCUCGGGAUGGCUCUAGAAAAAACUGCUGGGAGUAGUAUUAGAGUCGAGCAUAGAGCUCUUGAAGGAUUCAAAGAAGGUGUGCUUAAUGAUAAGAUACUCUAGUAUGAUACUUGUGAUGGGUAUUCAAGUGAAAGGUGGAGAUUGUUGGGAUUUCACAUGAAUCCCACAUCGGUUAAAUUCAAGAGUGUAGAUAGCUUAAUAAGUAUGGUAGAACAUCAACCUAAUAGGUUAACCUUUUAGGUAAGGAGGUGGUCCAACAUACUUAUUGGGCUCGUCUACACAGGUGUGCGUUGCUAAGGUGAUGAAUAGAUGGGGGAUGGAUCGUUCAAUUCGCUACACAAAAUAUCAUGGUGGUAUGGUUUUGACCUAACAGCUCUCCUAGCAGAACCAUAAAUGAUCUCAUUUUAACAACACAUAUGGGCAGGUUUAACCGAACCGAGUCAAUUGGGAAUUUUUGGGAGGAUUCCCUUGGGCAACAGGGAGCCCUAAAAAUAUAAAGAAAAAAUAAAACAUUUGUGGGCUACUAUACAAUCAUUAAUAAAUUUUACUAUGUCCCAUUUUCUUUUUGACACCAAGCAGUUGUAAAAUUAAUUAUCUGCAGCAUCAGCCACAAGCAGCAAAAGCAUUAGUUCCUAAGAGUAAUUAAUUAAAAUAAAUAGUUGUUCUAGCUAGUAAAGAUUCAAAGCGCAACCUGCAUGCCAUCAAGCUAAAAUCUAGCCACUAGGUUUUUGUGAGUUUAGGUUAAAAUUAUCUUUCAAAACUGAAGUUUUAUGUGCGUAUAAAUUAAAGCUCCUAAAAACCUUUGUUCAGCCAUUGGCAUGUCCACCGGAAAAUGAAGCUGCCAAGUAUUUUCAAUAUUCCUUUAACGUCUCAUCCGCGAAAAGCAAGUGUACUGCUUUUACGAGACAGCCUCAUCAGUCGGUACAUUUCUAACCUCACCAAAAUGGCCUGGCAAGGCUUAAUACAUGUUCGUUUGUCUGUCGUUGCAUAACACAUGAUCAAAAAGCAUGAAGUGAAAUACUCCAUUUCGAAAAAUUCCAUUUUUUUUGUUUAUUACCAUAUUUGUUAUAUAACACAACAUAUAUUAUGAAAACAUAUCUAAAAUACGAGAAAGAGGACUUGACAGGUGACCUACUUUUGCCUCACUAAGGAUCCAAUUGAGGGAUUUCUGAGAAGCAACCUAGAC
Molecule: long non-coding RNA, 3641 nt
Filed under: Panax ginseng (ginseng)
Lineage: Eukaryota; Viridiplantae; Streptophyta; Magnoliopsida; Apiales; Araliaceae
Description: long non-coding RNA (PGIN_LNC012747)
Source: RNAcentral